GUGUUCCUUCCAAUGAAUAUAGAAGAUUUUCACUGGUACCUGGCAGUUCUGAAUGCAAAAAAAAGUGAGGUACAUGUACUCGAUUCUAUGGGACAACAAAUAACGGAUCGCCGAGACCUUUAUACUACAUUAAAAGGUCUAGAAAGACAGAUUAAACUUGCAGCAAAACAUAAAGAGCUUUACCAAGGCAAGUGGUCGAACCUUGAUGUUGCAUCAUGGCCAGUUAUAGAGAAGAUCACAACACAAAUGCAAACCGAUGGGGUAUCUUGCGGGCUAUGGAUGAUAAACUAUAUGGAAUACUGGACAGGAUCCUCCCUAUCUGAUAACGUAACUCAGGAUGAUAUAACAAUGUUUAGGUUUAAGCUACCUGCAAUAUUAUGGGACUCGAGAUUAAACACAAAGAAAGGACAUCAAAAUCUUGACCACAAUGUGGAUGAAGAUGGAGAGAGUUCAAGUGAUGUUCAAAUAAUCGAUACUCCAUGUGAGUUAUCUAAAUCGUCAAAUACAUCACAUCAGAUUGAACCAUAUAUAUCUCCAUAUGUUCUGCCUGCUAAAGUAACAUCAACAAACACGCAAGAACUGAUGUUUGUAUUAUGCACAUAUAUCAUGGGGAUAGACAACGACAAAUAUUUAAAGAAACAUUGGAUUCAGAGCACUAAACCUUAUCCAAUUUCUUUAAGUCUUCAAAAACUUAAAGAUAUAUUGGAUGUAAAUAAGCCGAUGGAUACAGAUUGUUUUAACAUGGCUGUUCGGAUGAUCGCAUGCAAUGAUUCCUUGUUCUUGUUGGAAGACAAAUACCACUACAUGGAUCUACAGUUCUGUGUAAGUUCAAGUAAUUAGUCUUUAUUCAUAUAAGUGUGUUCAUUAUAUAAUUAUUUUACUAACAAAAAGUAGUCCAUAACUAAAUUUGGUCGAGACCCUCGCCUUCGUGCAAAGCCAGAUAUCAACAUGUUGGCAAAAUUAUUAGAAUGUUGGCCUGACAUGGAGUACGAUGUUUCAGAUUGCAAACAAAUUCUAUUGCCCUUUUCUUUCUUGGGUCACUUCACCUUAUAUGUACUUAACAUGGACACUAGAAGCAUCUAUAUAAUGGACUCCAUGCCUAUACCAUCAUGGUUUAAGGGUGAUCAUCCUAGCAUGCAUUAUAUUCAUAAUAUACAUUAUAUUGCCAAUAAUAUGAAUGCUGCCAUGGAAUUGGUCAAUCCUACAUGGAAAGACGAUAUUUAUAUGUGGCGUCGUAUAGUACCAACAUGGGUUCCAAGAACAUUAAACUGGGAUUUAUCUGGCUUUCUUGUUAUCAACUUUAUGCACGAUUGGAAUGGUAUAAGGUUACCCUGCAUUUGCACUAAUGGGAAUGACCUGAGGACCAAAUUCUUAGUAGAAUUAUUGAAGUACAAGGACAAUGAAUCCAAAGACAACAUUCCAGAAGAAAUACAAGAAAUUAUUAGGCACAUCAGAUAGAUAUGAUUUUAUUUGUAAUGAUACUCAACUUAUUAUCCUAAUUAAUUUUAUUGCCUUUUAGGUUCGUAGUAUCGUUAGGAACAUUUGCCAACAUAUAUUUUAGUUAUAUGUUGCACAUAUGAAGGCAGUUCAGUUUUCUGUACUUUCAAAGAUGCAUUGGUGUUUUAGAAGCUUCAGCUUAUCCUACUGUAAUACUGUGCUUAAAAGACUCCUAUGGGUUUCCAUCUUUUUAUUG
RNA transcript from Zea mays, 1693 nucleotides. RefSeq lists it as uncharacterized. The record is from RefSeq and is a predicted model, not a curated record. Lineage: Eukaryota; Viridiplantae; Streptophyta; Magnoliopsida; Poales; Poaceae. The transcript is spliced from 8 exons.